RNAcentral lists this ribosomal RNA (384 nucleotides) under uncultured Lactobacillus sp. RNAcentral describes it as "bacterial SSU rRNA". It matches the Rfam family "Bacterial small subunit ribosomal RNA", at positions 162 to 524 of the family's 1533-position model. Lineage: Bacteria; Bacillati; Bacillota; Bacilli; Lactobacillales; Lactobacillaceae. The record is from RNAcentral.
GCUAAUACCGGAUAACAACAGAAUGAUGCCUAUCAACUGUUUAAAAGAUGGUUACUGCUAUCACUCUUGGGAUGGACCCUGCGGUGCAUUAGCUAGUUGGUAGGGUAACGGCCUACCAAGGCGAUGAUACAUAGCCCGAGUUGAGAGACUGAUCGGCCACAUUGGGACUGAGACACGGCCCAAAACUCCUACGGGAGGCAGCAGUAGGGAAUCUUCCACAAUGGACGACAAGUCUGAUGGAGCAACGCCGCGUGAGUGAAGUAAGGGUUUCGGCUACGUAAAGCUCUGUUGUUGGUGAAGAAGGACAGGGGUAGUAACUGACCUUUGUUUGACGGUAAUCAAUUAGAAAGUCACGGCUAACUACGUGCCAGCAGCCGCGGUAAU